Mus musculus (house mouse) is the source of this 856-nucleotide long non-coding RNA. RefSeq annotates it as predicted gene, 31136. Lineage: Eukaryota; Metazoa; Chordata; Mammalia; Rodentia; Muridae. The record is from RefSeq and is a predicted model, not a curated record. The transcript has 10 exons.
UUUUAAACUGAAGUUAUUAACAAUGGAACAUUUCUCUUGGUGACAAGGAGAGCAAGGCAAAGAAAUAUUCAGUAUUUUCUUGGAGACCAACCAUCCAGCCUUACCAUCUCUUUUCCCCCAUAUCAACUCCCCUUCUUUCUCCCUUAAGAAAAGAACAAGUCUCCAAGAGACAAGUACUCAAUACAACAACACAAAUUACAAGAAGACAAGGUUCUCAAAGAAGCCACUAGAAGACAACAGAAACCUUGGAACUGGAGUCUCAAGCAGAUCAAUUCCAUAAUUCUUCAAUGAAAGCCAGCUGUUAACAAUUUGCAUGGUGUAUAAAAGAAGUCUUAGAAAAAUGGAAGAAUCUGUUUGACUGAAAAUGAUGGGACUCGCGGGUCCUGGCAGCAAAAGGAGGCAAAAUGUAUGCAAAGUUCACUCUGGAUAAACAUUGUGUUUCCUGGGCUUCCUUAUAGAACACAGACAGGUAUGAGGACCCAUGCCUGCAGUUCCUACACUAGUGAGAUUUUGGUGGAAGAGAUGAUUGCAAAGCGGAAGCUUCUUGGAAAUGGAUGAGCUAAGUCGUUUCUUCAGCUAAAACUCUGAAUGGCAUCAAGACAUCCGGGGACGUUGUACGUUUUGUGAAGACUAACAGUUUCAGCUAACAGGAACCUCAGGGAGCUCCGAGGGUCUGUGUCCCUCUGCAUUUACCUGUGCAUCUACCUCGUUCCAACAGUUGACAGUUCUUCAUCUCAUUCCUCCUCCUCCUCCAUCUCCAAGAGGAUGAUGUCCCGAUCCUCAACCUUCCCUCCCGCUCCCAAGCCUCCUCCCUAUUCCCUGGGGUCUCAAGUCUCUCCAGGGUUAGGUACAUCUU